AGUGAACGCUGGCGGUAGGCCUAACACAUGCAAGUCGAACGGCAGCACAGUAAGAGCUUGCUCUUACGGGUGGCGAGUGGCGGACGGGUGAGGCAUACAUCGGAAUCUACUUUUUCGUGGGGGAUAACGUAGGGAAACUUACGCUAAUACCGCAUACGACCUACGGGUGAAAUCAGGGGAUCUUCGGACCUUGCGCGAUUGAUUGAGCCGAUGUCGGAUUAGCUAGUUGGCGGGGUAACGGCCCACCAAGGCGACGAUCCGUAGCUGGUCUGAGAGGAUGAUCAGCCACACUGGAACUGAGACACGGUCCAGACUCCUACGGGAGGCAGCAGUGGGGAAUAUUGGACAAUGGGCGCAAGCCUGACGCAGCAAUGCCGCGUGGGUGAAGAAGGCCUUCGGGUUGUAAAGCCCUGUUGUUGGGAAAGAAAAGCAGUAGGUGAAUCCCCGGCUGUUCUGACGGUACCCAAAGAAUAAGCACCGGCUAACUUCGUG
This 492-nucleotide ribosomal RNA is filed under the name uncultured bacterium. Its description in RNAcentral is "partial 16S ribosomal RNA". It matches the Rfam family "Bacterial small subunit ribosomal RNA", at positions 29 to 507 of the family's 1533-position model. The record is from RNAcentral.